This is a long non-coding RNA of Centruroides sculpturatus (bark scorpion), 224 nucleotides long. RefSeq lists it as uncharacterized. The record is from RefSeq and is a predicted model, not a curated record. The transcript is spliced from 3 exons. NCBI's taxonomy places the organism in Eukaryota, Metazoa, Arthropoda, Arachnida, Scorpiones, Buthidae.
AGCUUUGGACUAUUACUUUUCUUCCUAAGUGCUAAAUAUUUCCUGUGUUUAUGUGAGAAAAAUGAAAGCAAGUCGGGAAUUGUGCGUAGGAUGGUUGGCGGUUCGCUUGCAGAAAAAGGCCAAUUACUAUUCUUAGUAUCCAUAUUCGAAAAAAAUAAAUUUCGUGGUGGGUUUUCGUUAAUAACACCGAAAACAUUAGUUGGAGCAGCGCAUAUUAUAGAUAG